UACAGAGGGUGCGAGCGUUGUCCGGAAUCACUGGGCGUAAAGGGCGCGUAGGUGGUGGCUUAAGCGUGCGGUGAAAGCUCGGGGCUCAACCCCGAGUCGGCCGUGCGAACUGGGCUCACUGGAGCAUAGUAGAGGCAGGUGGAAUUCCGGGUGUAGCGGUGGAAUGCGUAGAGAUCCGGAAGAACACCGGUGGCGAAGGCGGCCUGCUGGGCUAUGGCUGACACUAAGGCGCGACAGCGUGGGGAGCAAACAGG
RNAcentral lists this ribosomal RNA (254 nucleotides) under uncultured bacterium. RNAcentral describes it as "partial 16S ribosomal RNA". It matches the Rfam family "Bacterial small subunit ribosomal RNA", at positions 524 to 776 of the family's 1533-position model. The record is from RNAcentral.